AUGCAGUUCACCGGCAAGCCUCUACCGGUUGCAACAGCACGGGCGAGCAGUUUGCUUUUUCGUUUGUUUUGUCCUUUUAGGUGGUGGCGGUCGAGGACAGAGGGCCUGUUCUUUUCUACUGCUAUUUUUAGUAGAAAAAUGGUGGUUUUUUGUUGUGUUGUGCAGUUUGCAUGUCAUGCUGGAGACGUUCAUUGCACUGUCGAUGGCAGUUUAUACUUUGUAAUUGAGAAGUGCCUAUGUAAAAUUUCAGUUCCUCGUUGCACCACCAGUAUAAAUUUCAGCUCAGAUGUCCCCUGGAUUUGUGGGAUGCAUCCCCUUAUGUUGAAGGGUUUUGCCCUCCAAUGUGUGUUUUCAGCAUUUUUGCAUUAUACGUGCAGUGCAUAUGUGCCGCCCCCUAUAGUGCACUAG
This 408-nucleotide ribosomal RNA is filed under the name Triticum aestivum (bread wheat). Its description in RNAcentral is "partial small subunit ribosomal RNA". Lineage: Eukaryota; Viridiplantae; Streptophyta; Magnoliopsida; Poales; Poaceae. The record is from RNAcentral.